UCUUUAACAAGGUGAAACAAUUUGUAGUAAUACACUGCAAGGCGAGGUUGAGUACUAACAAUACUCAACAUCAAUAUUGUGUGUCUCUCAAGCACACAAUCCGGCGUCCAGGGAAACCUGGAUGUAAGAAGUCGUUAGUAGUCGUUUGUGUUGUAUGGUCAAGCGACUAAGCGUAUACGGUGGAUGCCUUGGCAGCUGGAGGCGAUGAAGGACGUAGGAGCCUGCGAAAAGUCUAGGGGAGCUGGCACACAAGCUUUGAUCCUGGAAUGUCCGAAUGGGGAAACCCACCUGUUUACAGGUAUCGCAUACUGAAUACAUAGGUAUGCGAGGCGAACCCGGGGAACUGAAACAUCUAAGUACCCGGAGGAAAAGAAAUCAACCGAGAUUCCCUGAGUAGCGGCGAGCGAAAGGGGAUUAGCCCUUAAGCUAAUUAUGUCUUAGUGGAAGGAUCUGGAAAGUUCCGCGAUACAGGGUGAUAGCCCCGUACACGAAAAGGCAUUUUUAGUGAAAUCGAGUAGGUCGGGACACGUGUUAUCUUGACUGAAUAUGGGGGGACCAUCCUCCAAGGCUAAAUACUCCCAGCUGACCGAUAGUGAACCAGUACCGUGAGGGAAAGGCGAAAAGAACCCCGGAGAGGGGAGUGAAAUAGAACCUGAAACCGUAUACGUACAAGCAGUAGGAGCCCUUCGGGGUGACUGCGUACCUUUUGUAUAAUGGGUCAGCGACUUAUUGUCUGUAGCAAGGUUAACCGCUUAGGGGAGCCGUAGAGAAAUCGAGUCUUAAUAGGGCGUUUAGUUGCAGGCAAUAGACCCGAAACCCGGCGAUCUAUCCAUGGGCAGGUUGAAGGUUGAGUAACAUCAACUGGAGGACCGAACUCACUAAUGUUGAAAAAUUAGGAGAUGACCUGUGGAUCGGAGUGAAAGGCUAAUCAAGCCGGGAGAUAGCUGGUUCUCCUCGAAAGCUAUUUAGGUAGCGCCUCGCGUCUCACCCUCGGGGGUAGAGCACUGUUUGGGCUAGGGGGUCAUCCCGACUUACCAACCCCAUGCAAACUCCGAAUACCGAGGAGUGCAAUCGCGGGAGACACACGGCGGGUGCUAACGUCCGUCGUGGAAAGGGAAACAACCCAGACCGCCAGCUAAGGUCCCAAAUACCAGUUAAGUGGGAAACGAUGUGGGAAGGCCCAGACAGCUAGGAGGUUGGCUUAGAAGCAGCCAUCCUUUAAAGAAAGCGUAAUAGCUCACUAGUCGAGUCGGCCUGCGCGGAAGAUAUACCGGGGCUAAACUGGUAACCGAAGCUGCGGAUGCCUUCGGGCAUGGUAGAGGAGCGUUCUGUAAGCCGUUGAAGGUGAACCGGGAGGUUUGCUGGAGGUAUCAGAAGUGCGAAUGCUGACAUGAGUAACGAUAAGGGGGGUGAAAAACCUCCCCGCCGGAAGACCAAGGGUUCCUGUCCAACGCUAAUCGGGACAGGGUUAGUCGGCCCCUAAGGCGAGGGCGAAAGCCGUAGUCGAUGGGAAACAGGUUAACAUUCCUGUACUUGCAAUUGCUGCGAUGGAGUGACGGAGAAGGCUAGGCCAGCAUGGCGAUUGGUUGUCCAUGUUUAAGGUUGUAGGCUGGGGACUUAGGCAAAUCCGGGUCCCUAAGGCUGAGAGCUGAUGACGAGCCCUUUUUUGGGCGAAGUGGUUGAUGCCCUGCUUCCAGGAAAAACUUCUAAGCUUCAGGCAAUUGCGAACCGUACUCGAAACCGACACAGGUGGUCAGGUAGAGAAUACCAAGGCGCUUGAGAGAACUCUGGUGAAGGAACUAGGCAAAAUGGUACCGUAACUUCGGGAGAAGGUACGCCGGUUUUGGUGAUGGGACUUGCUCCCUAAGCUGAGGCCGGUCGAAGUGACCAGGUGGCUGCGACUGUUUAUUAAAAACAUAGCACUCUGCAAACACGUAAGUGGACGUAUAGGGUGUGACGCCUGCCCGGUGCCGGAAGGUUAAUUGAUGGGGUUAGCUUCGGCGAAGCUCUUGAUCGAAGCCCCGGUAAACGGCGGCCGUAACUAUAACGGUCCUAAGGUAGCGAAAUUCCUUGUCGGGUAAGUUCCGACCUGCACGAAUGGCGUAACGAUGGCCACGCUGUCUCCACCAGAGACUCAGUGAAAUUGAAAUCGCUGUUAAGAUGCAGUGUACCCGCGGCUAGACGGAAAGACCCCGUGAACCUUUACUACAGCUUUGCACUGAACUUUGAGCCUACUUGUGUAGGAUAGGUGGGAGGCUUUGAAGCAGGAACGCUAGUUCCUGUGGAGCCGUCCUUGAAAUACCACCCUGGUAUGUUUGAGGUUCUAACCCAGGUCCGUAAUCCGGAUCGGGGACAGUGUAUGGUGGGUAGUUUGACUGGGGCGGUCUCCUCCCAAAGAGUAACGGAGGAGUACGAAGGUGCACUCAGCAUGGUCGGAAAUCAUGCAAUGAGCAUAAUGGUAUAAGUGCGCUUGACUGCGAGACAGACAUGUCGAGCAGGUACGAAAGUAGGUCAUAGUGAUCCGGUGGUUCUGUAUGGAAGGGCCAUCGCUCAACGGAUAAAAGGUACUCCGGGGAUAACAGGCUGAUACCGCCCAAGAGUUCACAUCGACGGCGGUGUUUGGCACCUCGAUGUCGGCUCAUCACAUCCUGGGGCUGAAGCCGGUCCCAAGGGUAUGGCUGUUCGCCAUUUAAAGUGGUACGCGAGCUGGGUUUAGAACGUCGUGAGACAGUUCGGUCCCUAUCUGCCGUGGGCGUUGGAGAUUUGAGAAGAGUUGCUCCUAGUACGAGAGGACCGGAGUGAACGAACCUCUGGUGUUCGGGUUGUCACGCCAGUGGCAUUGCCCGGUAGCUAUGUUCGGACGGGAUAACCGCUGAAAGCAUCUAAGCGGGAAGCCUCCUUCAAGAUGAGAUCUCCCUGGGACUUCGAGUCCCCUGAAGGGCCGUGGAAGACUACCACGUUGAUAGGCUGGGUGUGGAAGCGUUGUGAGGCGUUGAGCUAACCAGUACUAAUUGCCCGUGCGGCUUGACCAU
RNAcentral lists this ribosomal RNA (3032 nucleotides) under Microbulbifer marinus. Its description in RNAcentral is "bacterial LSU rRNA". It matches the Rfam family "Bacterial large subunit ribosomal RNA". Lineage: Bacteria; Pseudomonadati; Pseudomonadota; Gammaproteobacteria; Cellvibrionales; Microbulbiferaceae. The record is from RNAcentral.